CUCACUGCGGGGACUGCGGCCUCGGUGAUCCCACCCGAAGUUUGUCCCGCCGCAAUUCCGGAGCCCCUGGCCUCGUCGCGGGGUCACAUGGUGUCUGCGAUCCAGUUCCGGUUGGAGAGGAAGCCCAAACGAAGGGGACAGUUCGUGUGGCCUGAGAUCCCAAGUCUCUGCCUGGGCAGCAGCCCCGCCCCUCCUGCAAAUCAUUUACCGGGAAAUUGGAUUGGACUUUAUCCAGAGUACCUUAAUGUCCCUUGAUGUGUCCUGUUUCACAACUGGACACAUGUUCUUGCGUUUACAAGGAAGUCAGUAAACUGAACGGUACUUUUAUGGAAA
Herpailurus yagouaroundi (jaguarundi) is the source of this 333-nucleotide long non-coding RNA. RefSeq lists it as uncharacterized. NCBI's taxonomy places the organism in Eukaryota, Metazoa, Chordata, Mammalia, Carnivora, Felidae. The record is from RefSeq and is a predicted model, not a curated record. The transcript has 2 exons.